GGUAGCAUGGCCGAGCGGUCUAAUGUGCUGGAUUUGGGCUCCAGUCUCUGCGGGGAUGUGGGUUCGAAUCCCACAGCUGCCA
Molecule: transfer RNA, 82 nt
Organism: Loxodonta africana (African savanna elephant)
Lineage: Eukaryota; Metazoa; Chordata; Mammalia; Proboscidea; Elephantidae
Rfam family: tRNA
About the family: Transfer RNA (tRNA) molecules are approximately 80 nucleotides in length.
Source: Rfam